CAGCAGCCGCGGUAAUACGUAGGUGGCAAGUGUUGUCCGGAAUUAUUGGGCGUAAAGGGCUCGCAGGCGGUUUCUUAAGUCUGAUGUGAAAGCCCCCGGCUCAACCGGGGAGGGUCAUUGGAAACUGGGAAACUUGAGUGCAGAAGAGGAGAGUGGAAUUCCACGUGUAGCGGUGAAAUGCGUAGAGAUGUGGAGGAACACCAGUGGCGAAGGCGACUCUCUGGUCUGUAACUGACGCUGAGGAGCGAAAGCGUGGGGAGCGAACAGGAUUAGAUACCCCGGUAGUCCCUGUCUCUUAUAC
This 301-nucleotide ribosomal RNA is filed under the name uncultured bacterium. RNAcentral's name for it is "partial 16S ribosomal RNA". It matches the Rfam family "Bacterial small subunit ribosomal RNA", at positions 509 to 807 of the family's 1533-position model. The record is from RNAcentral.